RNAcentral lists this ribosomal RNA (253 nucleotides) under uncultured bacterium. RNAcentral describes it as "partial 16S ribosomal RNA". It matches the Rfam family "Archaeal small subunit ribosomal RNA", at positions 474 to 727 of the family's 1478-position model. The record is from RNAcentral.
UACCAGCACCCCGAGUGGUCGGGACGUUUAUUGGGCCUAAAGCAUCCGUAGCCGGUUCUACAAGUCUUCCGUUAAAUCCAACUGCUUAACAGGUGGGUUGCGGAAGAUACUAUAGAGCUAGGAGGCGGGAGAGGCAAGCGGUACUCGAUGGGUAGGGGUAAAAUCCGUUGAUCCAUUGAAGACCACCAGUGGCGAAGGCGGCUUGCCAGAACGCGCUCGACGGUGAGGGAUGAAAGCUGGGGGAGCAAACCGG